RNAcentral lists this transfer RNA (71 nucleotides) under Tolypothrix sp. NIES-4075. It matches the Rfam family "tRNA". From Rfam's summary of the family: Transfer RNA (tRNA) molecules are approximately 80 nucleotides in length. Their secondary structure includes four short double-helical elements and three loops (D, anti-codon, and T loops). Lineage: Bacteria; Bacillati; Cyanobacteriota; Cyanophyceae; Nostocales; Tolypothrichaceae. The record is from Rfam by way of RNAcentral.
GCGAAUGUGGUGUAGCGGUAGCAUGUGAGUCUUCCAAACUCUUGGCACAAGUUCGAUCCUCGUCAUUCGCU